This 775-nucleotide ribosomal RNA is filed under the name uncultured Neocallimastigales. RNAcentral's name for it is "partial large subunit ribosomal RNA". It matches the Rfam family "Eukaryotic large subunit ribosomal RNA", at positions 22 to 647 of the family's 3401-position model. The record is from RNAcentral. Lineage: Eukaryota; Fungi; Neocallimastigomycota; Neocallimastigomycetes; Neocallimastigales.
GUACACGCUGUGACUAGCAUAUCAAUAAGCGGAGGAAAAGAAACUAACAAGGAUUCCCCUAGUAACGGCGAGUGAAGCGGGAAGAGCUCAAAUUUGAAAUCUUAAAGGGUUUCCCUUUACGAAUUGUAGUUUAAAGAAGUGUUUUCUGUUGAGGUUUUGGUAAAAGUUCUUUGGAAUAGGACAUCAUAGAGGGUGAGAAUCCCGUAUUUGACCUUUACUUUCAACUUUGUGAUACACUUUCAAAGAGUCGGAUUGUUUGGGAAUGCAGUCCAAAAUGGGUGGUAAAUUUCAUCUAAAGCUAAAUAUUGGCGAGAGACCGAUAGCGAACAAGUACCGUGAGGGAAAGAUGAAAAGAACUUCGAAAAGAGAGUUAAACAGUACGUGAAAUUGUCAAAAGGGAAGCGUUUGACACCAGUGUUGUUUUUCUGAAAAAUCAAUUAAAGAACUGUUUAUGCUAAGCUGUUUAGACUUUAUCAGCUAUCUGUUUAGUUUUGAGCUUUUCUUUAAUGCACUUUUCAGUUAACAAGUCAACAUCAAUUUCUUUUGCUGUAAAAAAGCUUGAGGAAGGUGGCUUGAGAUUCGUCUUAAGUGUUUAUAGCCUCUUGCCUAUGCAGUCGGAGAGAUUGAGGUCUGCAGCGUAGAUCCUUCGGGGCUAAAUGCAUUUGUGCUAAGUUAUAGCAUUUUAUAGACAACUUGUUGACUAUGAUUUGUCUUGUAGCUUACUCGCUUAUGUUAUUUUACCUACGCUUAGGAUGUUGACGAGACUGUCGAUCUC